GAUGAACGCUGGCGGCGUGCCUAAUACAUGCAAGUCGAGCGAAUGGAUUAAGAGCUUGCUCUUAUGAAGUUAGCGGCGGACGGGUGAGUAACACGUGGGUAACCUGCCCAUAAGACUGGGAUAACUCCGGGAAACCGGGGCUAAUACCGGAUAACAUUUUGAACCGCAUGGUUCGAAAUUGAAAGGCGGCUUCGGCUGUCACUUAUGGAUGGACCCGCGUCGCAUUAGCUAGUUGGUGAGGUAACGGCUCACCAAGGCAGCGAUGCGUAGCCGGCCUGGAGGGGGGAUCGGCCAAACUGGGACUGAGACCCGGCGCAGAAUCCUACGGGAGGCGGCAGGAGGGAAUCUUCCACAAUGGACGAAAGUCUGACGGAGCAACGCCGCGUGAGUGAUGAAGGCUUUCGGGUCGUAAAACUCUGUUGUUAGGGAAGAACAAGUGCUAGUUGAAUAGGCUGGCACCUUGACGGUACCUAACCAGAAAGCCACGGCUAACUACGUGCCAGCCGCCGCAGUAA
Molecule: ribosomal RNA, 515 nt
Filed under: uncultured bacterium
Lineage: Bacteria
Description: partial 16S ribosomal RNA
Rfam family: Bacterial small subunit ribosomal RNA
Source: RNAcentral